This 231-nucleotide ribosomal RNA is filed under the name uncultured bacterium. RNAcentral's name for it is "partial 16S ribosomal RNA". It matches the Rfam family "Bacterial small subunit ribosomal RNA", at positions 99 to 334 of the family's 1533-position model. The record is from RNAcentral.
CGGACGGGUGAGUAAUGUCUGGGAAACUGCCCGAUGGAGGGGGAUAACUACUGGAAACGGUAGCUAAUACCGCAUAACGUCGCAAGACCAAGAGGGGGACCUUCGGGCCUCUUGCCAUCGGAUGUGCCCAGAUGGGAUUAGCUUGUAGGUAGGGUAACGGCUCACCUAGGCGACGAUCCCUAGCUGGUCUGAGAGGAUGACCAGCCACACUGGAACUGAGACACGGUCCAG